UGCUGUAUACAUGAUCACACCCAUGGAGGCUCCGGUAGGAAAUUCAUAAAGCGACUUCUCGACCACGCUGAUAGUCGCCACGCCCUGCAUUAAUAAUCAUUCCCCAAGUCAAAUCGAUGAUCCCGACCACCCAUUCCCCCACUCCCCAGCGAUAACGAAGCGUCACAUGGAGGAGUACGCCACUUCUAUCCUACAACAGCAUUCCUCUCGUCAUUAUUAAUGUGGGGCCUAAACCUGUACGAGUUUAUCGAAGUGGAACGGUCAUCAUCAACUCUUCCUGGUGACUUCACAGAGCUCAUUUGCAUCAACUAUUAUUAUGAUGAAAAGAGGAAGGAGCUCUGAUACCAUGUUACGAUGAAGAGAGGAACGGAUGAAGCAGAUGAACCCGCAUGUGAAAAGAGUUCUUCUACCAUGUACGAGUUCUUCUAUCUUGGUGGAUAGAGGGGAGGGGCAGAGAAAUGUUAGAAUGCCUGAAUCAUGACAGUCUAGGGAACCCGCACUGACAUGAUUCAGGCAUCCUAACAACAAUAAAAGGGAGACCGUCAUAACAGUGCGGGUUCCCUCGAAUGUCAUGAUUCAGGCAUCCUGACAACAGUAAAUGGGAGAUCGAAACUCCUAUCCUAUGAAUAUAAAAUACACUUUAAACCGGCUUCCCAGAUAGAAGCAGUUUUCUUGCCUUAAGAUCACUCUUCAUGGAUCAUACGACCAGUGUUCAGAAGCAAAAGUAAAUUCGUGAUUUAGUUUCAGCAGAUGAUGUAAAUAAGCACGCUGGUGACUUUCGGGAUUAGGCGUUGGGCACUCGUUGGCCAUCUCUGCAAGUUAAUAACGGCAUAAGAUGCCAAUAUCUUAGAAAUAAAAUCCAGCAAAAAGAAACAAGUAUGCUCUGUUUCCGUUUGGUCCGUUCCAUCCAAAAUAGUUUCCCAUUUAUAGUUUGAAGCGCCCAUUUUCCGCCAUAUGAUGACAUGUUUGCCUACAGGGUAGCAUAGCUCCCGGCAGCCCCACUGCCAUAACGAGAUGUGCCCCCUCCAAACUACGUAUCCUGCUUAUCCCCUCUCUUCGGAGGCCUCCAACGGUACGCUGUUCCUUUGCAAUGUGAAAAGAAAUUGAAGCAUAUGAUCCUAGAAAUGUUCUUUUAAACAGGCGAGCAUCGCAAAAACACAUUAUUUAGAAGUCAACUCAGAAGAAAACGUGUAACGAGGACGGAUGUUACAACUACUGGCUGAAAUGGAUAAAUAGAUUGCUCACUCGUACUCCCAUGAACUUUUUUGCCGUGUAUGCUCUUCGAAACUUAGUUGGGUACGAAAAGCUUUCGGGACUGAAUUCUUUAGUAUCAUACGUAAAAGUGAAGGCAUCCUAAAACUUGAAAAGAAUCUAACUGAGUUAUUGAUUAUGAACAAGCAUAUCUUAGGUUAUGCAUACAUCAUUUCCCGGACUUAUUUGAUGGAUUGCCUUUGAAAUUCUCCCUGUUAAGUAUCUCAAAGAAAAAUGUUUACCUCUGGAUAAACAUCAAUUUAGGUUUCUAAAUUGAUAGAGAUCUCUCAAAAUAUGACCAGUCACGUCUGGUGAUGCGCAAGUAGAUGGUUAAAGGUCGUAUGUUUCUGGUGAAAGUGAAUAAAAAUGGCUGAAAUAAAGAAAAAGAAUGAGUCGAAAGUAUAGCUGGCAGUUCGUCUUUUUGAUAUGUGACAUAUUAAUAAAAGACUAGUCAUGGAAACCAUAUUAUAGGAAGCCUAAUUGAGAAACUAUCAUAUUCUACGAGGGCAAUGAUGGCAUGGCUUGGAGAAGACAAUUAACUUCUUAUACCAACGGGGAAAUAAAGGCCACAAAAUUAGACUUUUCGUUGAAAGAAAAACUGCCAUUAGAAUAUACAAGUGAGCUAUGCAUACACCUCUCAGCUUACACAGUUUCUAAUGCAUGACUUAUGUAAUGGGGUAUUUAUAACAUAACUUUCUAAGUUUCCUUGACACCACUACACUGAUAUCAACUGUAAAUUUCAUUUGUGACAGGAUAUUUAUUCAGCUGUAGCACCAGCAUAAGUUCCUUAGACCUUGGUGGACCAGGUUCUUGCAACCUAUUCUCUUUUUCAGGAAAAACCUAAAUCAAAUUCAUGUCAUCUAGAUAAAUUUCUUAAAUAUCAUUUAACAUUAGAAUAUGGUAUUGGAUUAUUUAAAUUCAGCCACUUUUCUUCUUUUGAAUUUUAAUGAUAUCAAUAUGAAUAUUUUUCAUUUAAAUUUUAAAAAUCCAUAUUUCAUGGUAUGUGAGAGGAAACCAAACUUUAAUGAUCCACCCUUAUUAAUAAGUGUCCAAAGUAAAAUAUAACCAUUAAGUAAGCUGUAAUCAUCCGAAAAUACAAUAAAUUCACCCAGAAAAUAGUUUUCUAAGCCACAGAGCAUCUAAUAAAGCUGUAUGACUUAGCCUAGCAUGAAACCUUUUACUUGUUGAGAGGAAAACCUGAAAGACAUUUUAACAAGUUGAAACAUACCAUUGAUAUAUCCAAGAUAAAUGGUUCACAAACCUCAUCUCUAUCCCAUUCUAAGUGUUUUUCUAGUUUAUAUUGUCUCAAAAUAAGAAUUAAUUCCUCUAAAAAUGCAGCUUUUAUCAAAAGUUUCUUUGUUGAGAGGCCCUUUCCUCAUUUAUAUUUUUUUUUGAGAAUACAACAAGUAUGUCAAAUGAGAAUAAGGUCUCUUAUAGCAUGAUCUGUUGAGUUAAGAAUUAACUCAUGAUGAUUUGAUGACUUUGAGAUCAAUAUGAAAUCAUGAAAUUGAUAUAUGUGUUGUAAUAUAAUAGACGAUUAAUGAAUUAAAUGAUAUUGAAGAGUUGAGAUUACUUCAAUAAUGAUCUAUGGUCUACAGCACAGAAAAUAUCCUAUUCUAUUUAAAAUUAUCUUCAUGGAUUUGAUUGCUAGAUAGUGUGGACAUGAAAACAUUGAAAUAUCUGUGUAAUAAAUAUAUUAUUCUCUGAUGUGUAAGUCUUAAUGUUUGAAUUUUAUCUAUCAAAUGACUUAAAUAAUAGAGAUGUAUAAGUACUCAGCAUAAAGGUAUUAAAAUAAGUAAUGUUGUAUAAACAUUUCAGACAAAAUAAACCACUCAUUAGUUUGAUACUGAUUCUAUAAGAUUAAUGAUAUAAAAUACUCACACAAAGUUAAAAAUGAAUAUAAGUAUGAUCUUUGCUACUCAAUAAAAUUUUAAUCUCAGACAAUAGGUGAAAAAUAUAGCUGUGUGAUAAAACAUUAGAAAGAGGACUUAAAGAGGAAUCUAGAAUCGAAAAACCGUUCCCAAAAAAGUUAAUGAUCAAGAGAAAUGAAUAUGUCGUUCUUUAUUGUCUAUUUUUCCGUAUUUUUAGGAUCAUGAAUGGCCUGUUAAGUCCCAUUUUAAGUCAACAUUUGACCUGACAAGAAAAAAAGCAAGCAGCCAACCCUAUCAAAAAAUAUGAAACUUUGUCCACAUUAGGGUUCAAAAGGCAAAAAUAUAUUUCUAGGCAAUGACUACUGUUCCAACUAAAACUCCUCACCAUUAACACAUUUCAACUCUCCAAGUUAGAACUUUGAGAUCGAUUGUUUCAAGAGAGAUUUGGACACCUUUUCAAUCAUUAAAAAGUUUCUUCAUUCAGCCCUAUAUUCAUCAACACCUUCAAAAAUUAUUUCUGGACAGAAACAUAAUUUGAAAGCUAUAAUAAAAUUAAUUUUUAUUUCUAUCUUCAUAUGUGAUGUGUUAAGCCACUUAUCAAGUAUAUGUAAUAUGUUUUCCUUGAUGACCCAUACUUGUGGCAUGUGUGGUGGCUUGAGAAGCGAUGUGGUGCCUUGGGUGAGUGGGCAAAUACUUAUGGUGUGCUUAGUCAUUUCGCAUAGUUCUUGUGUUGAGUAAAUUCCUUCUCAACACUUGUGACGUGUUGAUUGUAGAGUGAAGAUUGUGGUGAACUCAUCUAAGUAAAGACUACUAAAUGUAUGACUAUAAUAUAGUUACAUAAGCUUGAUGAGUUUAUGAUGCAAAGGGGAACUAAGCCCAUGAGUACAAUCACAAGGUGUGCUUAGUGAAAACCAAAAGUCAUUGACUUGAGAAGUUGAUGGGAUCAAUCAGCAAGUCAACACAAGUCAACCCCCCGACACCCCAAGAGCCCAACAAGGAACGUCAAGAUUAACAUUACCACGAAGGACUGUAAAGAUUAGAGUGGACCCUAACUUGGGAGUCAACUUAAUCCAAGUUUCUCAGCUUCUACCUCAUUUAGUGAACUCUAAUUGGAAUAUUGGGUCAACUGUUAUUGGGCCCUUUUGAUCCAAUAAGAGGAUCCACCCAAAUAAGUGGGCCCAUGAAGUGGAAGAAGAGGUUAUAGAAGAGGAUGAAAGAGAUGCUGACGGAAACUCACCUCUUCAUCCAAGGAGUCCUUUGAUGGAAGCAACCCUCUGAUGUGUCUUUUGGUACCCUUUGGGGUUGUUUCCCCAUAACCACCUAUUUCCUCUCUCUAUAAAACAUAAAAAUGAUUGUAAACAGCGCAGACAGGAUGAAUGAAUAACUUUUCUUCCCCUUUGUCUCUCCCAGUUCUCGGCUUACCCUCUCUCUCUCCCUCCUGCCCGUCGCCUCCUCUCCCUCUCCCACGCACAACGCCCUUCAUCUUUCCUUCUUUCUCUCCUUCUCUCUCGCCCCUCUCGCGCGUGUCUCUUGUCCCCGCGCACGUCGCCCCUCUCUCUACCUCUCGCGCGUUCUCCCUCCCUCUCUCUCUCCUCCACAUCGCCCCCCCUCUCUCUCACCCGCACAUCAUUCUCCCUUCUCUCUCUCCCGCUCACGCGUUCGCCCUCCC
This 4791-nucleotide long non-coding RNA is filed under the name Spirodela polyrhiza (greater duckweed). Its description in RNAcentral is "long non-coding RNA (SPOL_LNC000812)". Lineage: Eukaryota; Viridiplantae; Streptophyta; Magnoliopsida; Alismatales; Araceae. The record is from RNAcentral.